Quercus robur (English oak) is the source of this 886-nucleotide long non-coding RNA. RefSeq lists it as uncharacterized. NCBI's taxonomy places the organism in Eukaryota, Viridiplantae, Streptophyta, Magnoliopsida, Fagales, Fagaceae. The transcript has 2 exons. The record is from RefSeq and is a predicted model, not a curated record.
UUUGAGCAUUUGCGUCGAUAACUUUUUUUUUUUUACAAUAUUUUCACAACAAAAUCUUAUAUGGUAAGUUGUUACUAGUUCUAAUUUAGGGAAAAAUGCUCAUACACCCCCUAAACUUUGGAUCAGUAGCUAAAACACCCCCUGUACUUUUUUAUUAGCCAAUUUACUCCUUAAACUAUACACACUUGCCAAAUUAAUUCUUUAGUUAGUUCCACGUUAAAACACUAACGGAAUAGGAUGUGAAGUUUAAAAACUAAUUAAUUCACACGAUGGAAAUAAGAGAGGAAAGACCUUGGUCUGACCGGCAAAGAAGAGAGAGAAAGAGGCGGUAGAACUAGAGCCACCGUGGAGCGGCGCUGAGUUCUUCAUCCGGCGAUUGUCUCGCUCCCCGUAGGCCGUAUCUUCAGGCCCUGGUACGUGCAAGUUUCUAUCGGGGUUGAGUCCAGGAUCCAAAUAAUCACAAAUCCUUUCAAGCAAUGAAUAGGAUGUAAGGGAUCAAAAAUGUGUUACAAGUUGUAAGUUGCAACCUUGACAUCCGAUUGGAAAUGUAAGACAUCAAUAUACUCUAAAAUAAUUGGAGUUGCAAAGAAAGAUGGAAAAGACCUGGGACUUGAGGAGAAAUGCCAACCAAUGUGUACUCAAAAUUGUAUCUUGCUUAGUUAAGCGUUCAAUGUCAAUGAUGUAACAAUUAUGUGAUGAUAAUUAAGUGUUAAAAUGUAUUAUGAGAGGUGCAAGGAUAUGUAAUAGUUUUCAUAUAUGUAAUGACUAGUUGUUUGUAAUAUAAUUAUGUUUAUAUAUAUAUUAAACUAACUGAAAUUUGCAUAUGAAUUGAAGGAUAUGCAAUGCGGACCUUGUUUGUGAUCAUUUGUCCACAAACUAUUUCGUU